UAGGGAAUCUUCCGCAAUGGACGAAAGUCUGACGGAGCAACGCCGCGUGAGUGAUGAAGGUUUUCGGAUCGUAAAACUCUGUUGUUAGGGAAGAACAAGUACCGGAGUAACUGCCGGUACCUUGACGGUACCUAACCAGAAAGCCACGGCUAACUACGUG
Molecule: ribosomal RNA, 160 nt
Filed under: uncultured bacterium
Lineage: Bacteria
Also listed under: 1 other name
Description: partial 16S ribosomal RNA
Rfam family: Bacterial small subunit ribosomal RNA
Source: RNAcentral